Molecule: ribosomal RNA, 274 nt
Filed under: uncultured bacterium
Lineage: Bacteria
Description: partial 16S ribosomal RNA
Rfam family: Bacterial small subunit ribosomal RNA
Source: RNAcentral
AUACGGAGGGGGCUAGCGUUGUUCGGAAUUACUGGGCGUAAAGCGCACGUAGGCGGAUUAAAAAGUUAGAGGUGAAAUCCCAGGGCUUAACCCUGGAACUGCCUUUAGAACUAGUAGUCUAGAGUUCGAGAGAGGUGAGUGGAAUUCCAAGUGUAGAGGUGAAAUUCGUAGAUAUUUGGAGGAACACCAGUGGCGAAGGCGGCUCGCUGGCUCGAUACUGACGCUGAGGUGCGAAAGCGUGGGGAGCAAACAGGAUUAGAAACCCCGGUAGUCC